AUACGGAGGAUGCGAGCGUUAUCCGGAUUUAUUGGGUUUAAAGGGUGCGUAGGCGGCCUUGUAAGUCAGCGGUGAAAUUUUGCAGCUUAACUGUAAAAGUGCCGUUGAUACUGUGAGGCUAGGAUUUGGUUGCUGUGGGUGGAAUGUGUGGUGUAGCGGUGAAAUGCUUAGAGAUCACACAGAAUAUCGAUUGCGAAGGCAGCUCUCAAAGCCAAGAUUGACGCUGAGGCACGAAAGUGUGGGGAUCAAACAGGAUUAGAUACCCUGGUAGUCCACACUGUAAACGAUGAUAACUCGCUGUCGGCGAUAUACAGUCGGUGGCCAAGCGAAAGCGAUAAGUUAUCCACCUGGGGAGUACGACCGCAAGGUUGAAACUCAAAGGAAUUGACGGGG
Molecule: ribosomal RNA, 393 nt
Filed under: uncultured bacterium
Lineage: Bacteria
Description: partial 16S ribosomal RNA
Rfam family: Bacterial small subunit ribosomal RNA
Source: RNAcentral